This 503-nucleotide ribosomal RNA is filed under the name Coriobacteriaceae bacterium M52. RNAcentral describes it as "bacterial SSU rRNA". It matches the Rfam family "Bacterial small subunit ribosomal RNA", at positions 8 to 521 of the family's 1533-position model. The record is from RNAcentral. Lineage: Bacteria; Bacillati; Actinomycetota; Coriobacteriia; Coriobacteriales; Coriobacteriaceae.
AGAGUUUGAUCCUGGCUCAGGAUGAACGCUGGCGGCGCGCCUAACACAUGCAAGUCGAACGGUUAAAGCACCUCCGGGUGUGUAUAAAGUGGCGAACGGCUGAGUAACACGUGGGCAACCUGCCCCUCGCACCGGGACAGCCUCGGGAAACCGUGGAUAAUACCGGAUACUCCGCCACCCCCGCAUGGGGGAGGCGGGAAAGCCCAGACGGCGAGGGAUGGGCCCGCGGCCUGUUAGCUAGUUGGUGGGGCAACGGCCCACCAAGGCGAUUAUGGGUAGCUGGGUUGAGAGACCGACCAGCCAGAUUGGGACUGAGACACGGCCCAGACUCCUACGGGAGGCAGCAGUGGGGAAUCUUGCGCAAUGGGCGAAAGCCUGACGCAGCGACGCCGCGUGCGGGAUGAAGGCCUUCGGGUUGUAAACCGCUUUCAGCAGGGACGAGGCCGCGAGGUGACGGUACCUGCAGAAGAAGCCCCGGCUAACUACGUGCCAGCAGCCGCGGU